Capsicum annuum is the source of this 2404-nucleotide RNA transcript. It is a transcript of the gene named fatty acid amide hydrolase, with no coding region annotated. Lineage: Eukaryota; Viridiplantae; Streptophyta; Magnoliopsida; Solanales; Solanaceae. The record is from RefSeq and is a predicted model, not a curated record. The transcript is spliced from 23 exons.
AGUGCGACGAAGUGCAAUGUACAAGGAAGAGGUUGAUGUGGACGUCGGAGAAAUGAUGGUUAAACUGCCAUACGUUGAAAUUCUUGGGGGAGUCUCCAAGUCGUCAAUUACAAAGACUAGCGUACUAUAUACGCCCAUGCUCUGACCCAUUGGAGUAAAUAUUAAACGUGCGCACUCAUUGAUCAUUAAUCAGUGUGCUCGCCGGCCUCCAACCGUCGUCCAUACUUGCUAAAACCAUUUACUUCAAGCUAGAUUGAGAAAUGGGGAACAAGAGAGUGAUGAUACCGGCAAGUGAAGUUGACUUGACGGCUGUGAACUACAUACCCGAGAAUAUUCAAGCUCCACAUUUGACUGGUUUCUGGUUUAAGUUCUUUGUGAAGCUGGCUGAAGCACCGGGUAUUGGAUCUUUGAUUAUGAAUCACCUCAAGAAAGAAAACAAAAUUGAUGAGAUGUUGAAGUACACCGUCAUACCGGAGGUUCCUAUGUUUAAACCUGAAUAUCCUCCUCAAGAGCCAGAACCUGCUGUAGUCAGCCUGGAAGAAGACGCAAAGCCUGAAGAACGGGUUAACCUAGCCUUAAAGUAUCUUCCAGAAUAUGAUCCAGCUAGCAAUUGGAGUGGUGAUUCAACUGCAUCAUUCCGCUAUUGGAAAAUUCGUGAUUAUGCAUAUGCAUACAGAUCUAAGUUUACAACUCCAUCUAUGGUUGCGGAGCGCUUCAUCUCAGCCAUUGAGGAAUUCAACAAUAAGAAUCCCACAGCCCCACUGUUAAUUUCUUUUGACCCUGACGAAGUAAGAAAGCAAGCUGCUGCUUCUACACAAAGAUUUCAACAAGGAAAUCCACUGUCAAUCUUGGAUGGGAUUUUCAUGGCAAUUAAAGACGACAUAGAUUGCUAUCCUCACCCUUCAAAGGGAGCAACUACGUGGAUGCAUGAGGUUCGUGAGGUAAAGAAGGAUGCUGUUUCUGUGUCAAGAUUACGAAGCUGUGGUGCAAUUUUGGUUGGAAAGGCAAACAUGCAUGAGUUGGGCUUGGGCACUACCGGAAAUAAUGCAAACUAUGGGACUACACGUAAUCCACAUGAUCCAGAUAGGUACACAGGAGGGUCUUCCUCAGGCCCUGCAGCUAUUGUGGCUUCAGGAUUGUGUUCUGCUGCUGUGGGAACGGAUGGUGGAGGUUCAGUUCGGAUUCCCUCUUCCCUUUGUGGUGUUGUGGGAUUGAAGUCAACAUAUGGUCGAACUGACAUGACCGGGUCAUUAUGUGAUGAUGGAACGGUGGAAAUUAUUGGACCAAUCGCCACAACUGUUGAGGACACCAUACUUGUGUAUGCAGCAAUCUUGGGAUCCUCUCCUGCUGAAAGAAUCUCUUUAAGACCGUCCGUCCCUUGUAUACCUAAUUUCCCUUCACAAGACAGCUCACAAUCUCUGGAAGCACUGCACCUUGGAAAAUAUACAGAGUGGUUUAAUGAUGUCUUGUCAACUGAUAUAUCUGACAACUGUGAGAAUGUUCUCAGUCGACUAUCAGAAAAGCAUGGAUGCAAAAUGGUAGAGAUUGUAAUACCAGAAUUGCAUGAGAUGCGCGUUGCUCAUAUUGUUUCUAUUGGGUCUGAAUCAUUAUGCUCACUGAAUCCAGACUGUUAUGAGGGCCUUCACACACCUCGACUAAAUCCACGGGAUACCUGCCACCUCUUACCAGCAGUAGAUAUCAGGAGAGGUGCGAGAUUGACAUAUGAUACUCGGACAAACCUAGCAUUUUUUCGAUCAUUUACUGCAGCAGACUAUGUUGCUGCGCAGCGGCUUAGGCGGAGGUUAAUGUAUUUCCAUAUGGAGAUUUUCAAGAAGGUGGAUAUCAUUGUGACACCUACUACUGGGUGGGACUUCUGUGCUGGAGCUAAUUUUCUAAGUAAUGAAGUGGUCAUAUGACUGACUUGUUCACGCAGAUACCUAAAACAUUAAAUGCAUGACAGCACCCAGAAUUCCACCAAGUGCUCUUAAAGUUGGGGAGACUGAUUUGCACAUUUCAGGAGAUCUUAUGCGGUUUAUUAUAACAGCAAAUCUUCUGGGAUUUCCUGCAGUUACUGUCCCUGUUGGUUAUGACAAUCAAGGGCUUCCCAUAGGUAUGCAACUCAUUGGCCGACCUUGGUGUGAAGCUUCCAUUUUGCGCUUAGCUGCUGCAAUUGAGGAAACUUGUGCUGAGCCCAAGAAGAAGCCACUGCAAUAUUAUGACAUCUUGAAAGGGAACUAAUCACAAUGUGAGUCAUGAAACUUAAGAAGACGUGGAUUAAUUUAUCAAGAUUUUGGUGAUUCACACUGUAUUGACUGUCUUUUCUUUUCCCAAAUGAUCUUGAAAUUGAAUGUACCAAGUUUGACAUACCACUUUAUGAAAUAAUGCUGAUAUUUCCCCAACAAAA